Molecule: transfer RNA, 59 nt
Filed under: Pseudomonadota bacterium
Lineage: Bacteria; Pseudomonadati; Pseudomonadota
Description: Proteobacteria bacterium (freshwater metagenome) tRNA-Val
Rfam family: tRNA
About the family: Transfer RNA (tRNA) molecules are approximately 80 nucleotides in length. Their secondary structure includes four short double-helical elements and three loops (D, anti-codon, and T loops).
Source: RNAcentral
UAGCUCAGUUUGGUAGAGCAUCUCGUUUACACCGAGAGGGUCGGCAGUUCGAUCCUGUC